UUCACCGUGCUUUGUGCUCAGGAGGGGCAUUGAAGCUCUGUAGGUGCUUCUGCCCUUUUUCCCUGACCCUGAAGAGAAGGGACACUGUCCCUGCAUGGACAGUCUUGGUCUGGAAGUAGCUGGCCUCAGUAACACAGCGUUUUAAGGGCAGAGCGUGGCGAUCAGGAGAGGAAGGUGGUUCCCGUGCCUGUGGGCAGCUCUUCUCGAGAUCAGGGAGAGGGGACUGCCUUGUUAAGUAGGAAGUGGGUGUGUUUCCCAAGGAAAACUUCAGAAAUUAAGCUCCAGGGGCAAACACUGUGAGGUUCUACCACCUCCUUGAGGACAUCCUUAAAACCACAGGGGCAUCAGCAGGGCUUGGAGCAGGACUGGCCAACCCCAGAGCACCUCACNCUGUGAGGUUCUACCACCUCCUUGAGGACAUCCUUAAAACCACAGGGGCAUCAGCAGGGCUUGGAGCAGGACUGGCCAACCCCAGAGCACCUCACAAAGCCCUCUGUGUGUCUGUGGCAGUCGAGUAGCACCUGGGGGGUGCUGAAAGUCCCAGUUCUGAGAGAAAAUUCUGUUUAACUCGUACACGUUGGCUGGGUGUGUCCCCCCAGUACAGCUCGGUUCUUCUCUGAGGCAGGGUCUCUCCCUGUUAAGGGCCGGGCGUGUUUUUAGCACAACACAGCAAAGUGGAAUAUUUGCUUCAGCAAGAGCUGAUGAUGUCUGGAGGGUUUUUCAGGUACCUCAGCGGCCAGGAGCACCUGUCUAGGUCACUAGGAACACUUUUUGAUCUCGUUCAGUUCUUUUCUGCGUGAGGCUCUGUGGGCUGCUGGCAAGGCCCAAAGUAAGGAAGGUUGCCCCAGUGUCCGUGCUCAUGUCAAUAGUUUAAUUUAUUUGGCUUUUCUAGGAGCAGACAUCGUGGAGGACCUUGGUGCUGUUUUCACUGGCCUCCUGCACUCUCUGAGAGAACCUCUUGCUCCCUGCUUGACGUUGUAGCUCUGUGACAAAGCUGCUAAGUAUCCUCAGCUCUACCAGUUUAACCAAUACUAUAGGCUCUGGAUGCCCAAGCAGUCCCAGGAACCUGUGGUAUGGAAUCCCCGAAGUCACUGAAUUCUUGAGCCAGUAUUCCUAUAAAAUCCUCGCAGUCGACAGAGGAACGAACCAAGCGAGUGCCCUGAAACCAGCGGAGCAGCUGCAGGGGCUGAAGGGAACAGAAAGGGCUCCCGGCACCUUUUGCCUCCGUUCUCUGCCAUUCCCCAAAAGGCGUCGCAGUCCCUGAAGAGGUGUCUGUCAUGCAGCCUGCCAAAAU
This 1294-nucleotide long non-coding RNA is filed under the name Lonchura striata (white-rumped munia). Its description in RNAcentral is "domestica (Bengalese finch) lncRNA (ENSLSDG00000000632.1)". The record is from RNAcentral. Lineage: Eukaryota; Metazoa; Chordata; Aves; Passeriformes; Estrildidae.